This 107-nucleotide small nucleolar RNA is filed under the name Gossypium arboreum. RNAcentral's name for it is "Plant small nucleolar RNA R71". It matches the Rfam family "Plant small nucleolar RNA R71". Rfam says of the family: R71 is a member of the C/D box family of snoRNAs containing the C (UGAUGA) and D (CUGA) box motifs. Multiple nearly identical copies of this snoRNA have been identified in Arabidopsis, and it is thought to function as a 2'-O-ribose methylation guide for 18S ribosomal RNA. Lineage: Eukaryota; Viridiplantae; Streptophyta; Magnoliopsida; Malvales; Malvaceae. The record is from Rfam by way of RNAcentral.
AACCUAUGGUAAGGGCACCUUCUCAGUAAGUCUUUGUAUCUCUCUCAUGCAUCAUAAAGAGUUUCUAAGUGCAUCUGCACAAAUGAAGAGAUAUCAUUACGUAAUUU